CAGGUACUCCCUCCGUUCCACAAUAUAUGCCUUCCAUUUAUUAAAAUAUAGAUGUAUCUAGACAUAUUUUAGUAUAUAGGUACAUCCAUUUUUAAACAAAUUGAAGUCAAGUAUUUUAGAACGGAGGGAGUAACAG
Molecule: non-coding RNA, 136 nt
Organism: Triticum urartu
Lineage: Eukaryota; Viridiplantae; Streptophyta; Magnoliopsida; Poales; Poaceae
Source: Rfam